ACCAUAUAAACGUUUAAAGCUAUAUGAUCUCGAGAUGAAUCAUCUUCAACCUUGCUAUCUUCACUCUGAUCUUACCAGAUAUAUUUCUCACUACAAUCAUUUUCUUUAAAUUCUAUAAGCAAGCACACAACACUCAUUAACACACAACACUCUUUUAAGAAUUUAUUUCUCCUACAUGAACGCUUACUUAACCUGUCCAAGUUCAGUCUUCUCAACUUUCAGUCCAUCAAUCAAUCUCAGAAAGAAUCUUAUCUCAGUGGGAUUUUCCGUAAACCUCGUCAAAAAGUCAGUUCAUGUGUUCCAUGCUUAAGUGUAUUAUCAAGGAGCCUGUUCUAGCCACUCUCAUGUGAAAAAGACGGAGAGAGUCUAGGUGUGUUGGGCUGUUAAAGCUCAUGGGUAAACCUAUCGCAAGUGAGCCCAUAUGAAGCUGUGGAAAUAUGUUGCCCCGGGAAGAAUGAUCAUUUGUAAGAGUAAUUAUUGUUUAAUACCUGCUAUUUAAGUAAAAUAAUUUGCUAACCCCUUUGUUUUACAAAAUUAAUAUCGACUCCCUUUAUUUUCCUACUUGUUUGUAACUUGAUUAUUAUUUAUCUAGAAUGUAUUUUAUUUCUAAUUAAAAUUUGCAUUCUCACCUACUGCAUAAAAUAUUUAAAAUGCAUUUAAAAAGAGCAAUUUAGAAACUUGUAAAAAAAAAAAAUAUCAGCUUUAAUCAAGGGACUAACUCAUAAUAUCGUAAAAUUGACAGGGCUAAAUUAUAAUUACUCUUUGAGAAAUGAGAAUUAUGCAUUCUGAAAUCUUUGUUCGCCGUCUAAAAUUGACAAGCUCGAUACGUUCCAUUUUUCUUACAUUGAAUUUUUGUCAAAUCUCUUCUCGCUAGCAGCAGGAGUCCUUCGGCUACUUUCCUGCCAUAAGGUCAGCCUCAACACCUCUGACAUCAAGCUC
Molecule: long non-coding RNA, 939 nt
Filed under: Populus trichocarpa (black cottonwood)
Lineage: Eukaryota; Viridiplantae; Streptophyta; Magnoliopsida; Malpighiales; Salicaceae
Description: long non-coding RNA (PTRI_LNC001601)
Source: RNAcentral